GAUAAGAUUCUGGGUAUCUCUGUUUACGGAGGUAAAAGGCUGUGGUGCUACUUGUAGUUGCAGGUGCAGAGAGAGAAAGGUGAAAGAAAUAAGCAAAAGAGAGAAACGGGUUUUCAUUUUUGUCCGAAUGGGUACUCAGAAAAGAUAGAUAGAGAAAAGAAAGAGCAAAAGAGAAGGCGUUUUUAGGGUCUGAGAGCUGCCAUUAGGAAAAAGAGCUGCAAGCUCUGUUUUUCUAGAGAGAGAAAUCUUGUUUCUUUUGCUUUUAUUUUGCGGGUAGAGAGAGAAACAAGAAUAGCAGUAGAGGAAGAAGAAGAAGAAGAAGGAGAGUCAAAAGACGGAGUAAGGCAGAUUAGAAGGGUAUUUAUCAAGUGGGGAGGAGUGGACACAGCUGUUCCUCACAUGCCAUGUGCCUCUCCCUUCUUCUUCUCUCCCUCACUCCCUCACUAUACCACAGAAAACCCAUUUGUUUAACAUAGUUUUCUGUCUCUAAUCUAAACUUUUCUAUGUCCUAAUAAUCCUAUUUUAAUCAUCUCUUGUCUCUUUAAGCAUGCUGUUUAGGGUACGUGAACAAUUUUUAAUGCAGUUAAAAAGCAAGAGAGAAAGAGAAAUUUUCUUUUCUUUGGGAAGAAAAAGAUAUUGUCUCUCUGUCUCUCUACUUCUUCCUUCUCUAAAAAAAAGAUUAUUUCUUUAUAGUGUACGUGUGAUCAACGAUUGAACCAUCACUAUCAAUUAAUGGGGAAAGGAGAUUCCAUCUAAUUAAUUAAAUUACAAUUUAAUUAAUUAAAUAUGUAAAAACCCUUUUUGGUCACGAGGAUAGGAUUUUUAAUCAAAGUGAUUUUUGGCAUUUAUAAGUAGAGCACUCCUUUUCUUGCUUCUUGCAUUGGGAAAGUUGAAGAGAGGGUAAAGUUAUUACUCUGCUCCUACUAUAAAUAUAAUCAAAAUAAGAGGUACUUCUAACAAUGAAGCAUAAAAGCAAGAAAGACCCAUGUGUUCACCUUGUACUAUAUGUAUACACACAUGCCUAUUACUCUUCUCUUAAUUUGUGCAAUUUAAUUUUGACAAUUUUUUUUUUGGAAUAAGAUUUUACUUUUUGCAUACUUUGAUUUAUGAAUUAGAUUAGAAUAAUUUUAAUUAAAAAUUAAUUUUUCUUAAAAAAUAUGAUGAUUUUAAUAUAUCUUUAAGUGGGUCAUCACACAAUAAUAAUAAUAACUUUGAAUGCAACUUAUUUUAGUCACACGUGUGGUUCCACAAUUUUUCUCCUCAAAGGUGGAGUGAAAAUCACUUCAAACCACUUAUAAAUUGCAAUACCCAAAUGUAGGUUUUAUUUCUUUUUAAGUUUGGACAAUUUUUUCUUGAAUGGACAGUCCUUGUUUUAAUGGUGACAAACACCAUUAAGAGUUUGGACCAUUUUGAUGCAAAUGGUCUAUUCUUUGAUUAUGCAUUAAAAUUCAAAGUAUUUGUGAGAAUUGUUUAUAGUUGAGCAACUUUGUUGUAUAUGGCCUUUUUUUUUCUUCCAAGAUUUUGCAAUCUUUUGUAUCACAUACCAUGUCAAAAUUAGUUAGAUAAAGGGAAUUUUCACAGAAAGAUGUGUAUAUCAAGCUGAAUAUAGUUGUCAUCAAAUUUUGACUUUCAUAGAAUUGUAUUUCUCUCUUUCUUUCUUCCAGUGUUGAUUUAUAGUUUUAAAGUUGAAUUGCUAUCUUUUCUUACACAAUCUUCUUACUCAAAUAUCACUGUUUUAGAUUGUCACACUCAAAUUGUAUUAUUAUGUUGUAACUUUAGAAAAUCAAUGUGUAUUUUGUACAAGAGAGUAUAUAUAUGUGUUUAGUUAUAAAAUGCAAGCACACAGUGUGAUUUUCUUAAAUUAAAUUCAUCCUUACUAUUUUAAGGUAAUAAAUGAUUCAUAAGAAAACUCUAAACAUUAAAAACUUAAAAUCUUGGGUAUUAAAAUUAUGAGAUAAUUCUAUCAUAUGAAUAAAUUAUAAACCAUUUAUACUUUGUCAAUCUCAUUUUUAAGAUAUUAAAAUUACUUAAUACCUAUUUAGGAAUCACGGAUCUUCAAAAUUGUUAUUUUUAUAAAUUUACUUUCAAUUUUUAUUACUAUUUUUUAUUUACUUUUAAUUACUUUCAAUUUUUUUUAUCUUAAUCCUACUAAUAACAUUUUCUAAGUAGGAUGCUGAAUAGGAUAUAUGUAUAAAUAUUUUUUUACUUUAGUUGUAUAAUUUAUGCACAAAUAGAUAAAUAAUUAAGUAUGUGUAAAUAUAAAAUAUUAAUUAAUAUGUAUUAUUUUGUUAUUUAUUAUUGUGCAAAUACUUAGCAUAGUAAGAAUUAGUCUAUAUCACACUCAACUACAAUAAAAAUUUAAUUUCUAAGAAUAUCCCCACAUAUCAAAAAGAAUAUUAAGAUAAAGUAAAAAUAAUUGGUGUAUUCUUUCAUUUUUUGUUAAUGUAUGUAUUAUUCAAAAUCAUAGAGUAAGGAAAAAAAAAAAGAACAAGCUGACAUCACAGUGACAAGAUUGUCCUUACGGUAUAUUAUUGGCACUCGUGUAACAAAAAGGCUGCCUCAAAUUCUGGUAACUUUUAAAACCUUCUCCACUCUCAUUCAAGGAGCGUGCGCUACCAUCACUUAACCAUGGGUCGCACAGAUCUCCGCAAAUUCCAAAACAAUUGUUAGCGUUUAUAUCGAACGACUUUGACCUACUUAGCGCUAGUUGACAAACACACUAAUCAAAUAAUUUGCGCAUGCUUUACACGCUCCACAAGUGUCGCUUGAAGGAUUAGAUUUUAUUUUUUACUUGCCAUUACUGGUACUGUACAUCGGGGCCCACAAGUCACAGCUAAUCAUAACCGCUGAUUCUUUUUGACGGUCAAGAUCUAUUGCUGGAAAUAAAAGGUCACUUAUUGUACUUUUGGGACCAAUAAUUUAGUUCUUGUCUUCUAAUAUCUAGCAGUAAAUCUAGUACUCACUCAUGGAAUUACUCAACUGCCCAUUUAUUUAUUGGGGGAGACUAACCUCAACAGCCGGGGCAUUUAGGUAAAUUUGGUGUUUCAGGUGUUUCUGAAAAGAGGGACGUGGAAAUUAUAUGAAUUCUUAUGUUAUAAUAAAAUAGAUUUUAACCAUAUUUGUAAACUUUCAGGGACAUUUUGGUCAGUACAUGUAAUUAUGUAUUUGUAGUUGGAAAAUUUUGCUGCCCUUUUUUUUUAGAUAAUCAGUCACUUAAUCUAGUCGUAACGUGAGAUGAUUUUUAAAAAUAAUGUUUGAUUUAUAUUUUACCUAUCUUAUAAUAGUAAUUUUAUACUUAAUUUAUAUUUUUUCUAUAAAUUUAGAUCUUAAAUUUGAAAUUUAAUUCAUUAAUUCAUUAAUGAAAUAAUCUACUCUCUCUAGCUCUCAAUUUGACUAAAACAUUUCUUUAGCUCUUUUGCAUUAGGGGCAUCAAGAACCGGAAUGGAUAUCACAUAUUUCCUUUUCUUUGAUCCAUAGCUAACAACUCAUCAUACCAAGUGCGUCAGCCUCACUCCCUUGGGACUACCAGUAGUUUCGGUUGUUGAAUCUCAUGCAAGUUAGGCUGUGGUUGUAUUGGCCGUAAGCAAAAUAAAGGGGCUUUAGGUGUGUGUUGACCAUGCGCUCUCGCAUCAUGUAAUGUUGUAUGUAUGAUAAAGGUGGUGUGGUGAUUGACAACAAUACUAAUGGUUAUCCCCAAGGUUCAACAAAUGAAUAAAGCUAUUAUCAUAACCGAAUAGAGAUGAUGGUCUUCCUCUGAUGUCUCUAGGUCGACUAUAAUAGAAUAGAUAGGCAAAGCAGCCAAUAAUUGUCUGUUCUCGCCUGUCGAUAAUAGCAGGUUGCUUCCAAGCUCAAACCAUUUGAAACUUAAUUGCUUUCAACACAGUUGUCUCUCUAGUUGUUUGAAACCUUUUGAGGCAUGUUGAGCCGCUUGUUGUAUUCAAAAGCCUUAUAUUUUAUUUUCUCAUUUGGACGACCCGCACUUAAAUAUAAAAAGCGACAAAGGAUACAAUGAAAAAGGUAAAUAAAUAAAAACUUAUAUCUUCUUUUAAUAGGGAGGAUAUGCUCUAUACUAUGGAAGACAUCAUGUUCAUUUUACUUUCUCUUCUUUCUUUCUUGUCUAUUCUUAUUUUACCCUUCGUUCCUUUUAUCUUGGGCAUCUCUAAGGUACAUUAAAAACUAACUCGAUAUCCUCACUGAACAAAGGGAGGAUUAUUCAGGGCAAGCUCAAUGUAUAAUGAGGAUGAAAUAACGGUUGGAUGGUUAGGACAUCUUAUCUUUAAUCCUAGGCCACAAGCAUAAAUCAUUGGCGCGGAAUAUAAUCCCAAAGUACUCCAAAGACUCAAAUAUAGUAAAUAAAUGAGAUGGUAAGACCCUUGCAAAGUUCCCUAAUAGCAUAGAGCUUAGAAAGCUCAGACCCGGGCAAGAUCCGAAAAACAUAAUAACCCGUCUCCCGCGUUCUCACUUCCUUUGAGAAAGUUUCUAAGCGUGGAUCAUAGACCAACAAGUUCACUAGCAAGGAAUAAACUCUGUGACUUAGUUCCAGCCUUCCCCCCAUACUUAGAUUGGGUGAUUGGAUUACUGUAAACAUUUCUUACAGUGCUAUCAUAACACAUGACCACAUCUUGAAGGAUGGAGUGAAAAAGAGGCAAAAUAGGGUAAACAGGCACGUAGGCAUAGGUCUUCCACUAUCACCUCUGAUGUGCCACUCGUCAAUUGAGAAACUUGGGGAGGCUAUCUUCAUGGUACCAAUGACUAGGGUCAGGGGGCCAUUAUAUAAAAUAAGGCAACUUAAACAUAUGCUUGGAAGGUGGAGCCUAUUGAUACAGAAAGAAGGGAGGCCAGACUUUUCCAACUGUGGUUCCAAUCUGUAUGGAAUAAUUUAAAUUAAUUUAUAAUUACAAUAAAAAAACUUGUCUGCUUAUAUAUUUUUUUAACUAUUUUUUACCAAAUUUAUUUUAAUAUUAUAUUAACUAAUAAAUUAAUCUUUAAUUAAAUAAUGACAUAUUAAUAUUAUAUUAAUUAAUAGAUUAGUUUUUUAAUUAAAUAAUCAUUUUGAUCCUAAAACAUAAUAAAUUAAAUUACAUUUAGUAAUAAAUUAAUCUCUAAUCUUAAAACAUAAUAAUCAAAAUAAUCUGAUAGGUAAGAAUAUAUGAAUAUGAACUUAAGAUUUAAUAAAAAUAUGUUUCUUUGUUAGUAAUUAUUUUCUUUAAUAUUUCUAUGUUAUAUUUUUUUUAAAGAGUACAAUGAAAUUAAUAAAAAUUUACAAAAUCAUAAGCUUGAUAAUAAAAAAAGUGUUAUAUAUAUAUAUAUAUAUAUAUAUAUAUAUAUAUAUAUAUUUAAAGUCUCAAUUUAUCUCCUAAAUUUGGAGUCAACAACAAUCCAUCCAGAUUUUAAUUUUUUGAUUAAUUUAUCCAGUGGUCAUUUCAUUUUAAAUAGAGAAUUUAAUUCAUUAAAAAAUUAAAUUUUACACUAAAUGUCAAGCUAUAUAAAAAAAAAUUUCUUUACUUAUAAUACAAUUAUUUAUGUUUAACGCAAUUAAAUUCUAAUAUCUAAUAUAAAUAAUUGAGUAAUUUGUUGGAGAAUUUCUUAAUUAAAUAACAUUACUAAAAUUAUAUAAGAUUAUAUUUUAAAAAAUGAGAGUAAAAAAUUUUAUUUUAGUAAUAUUUAAUUUUAAUUUCUAAUAAAAAUAAUUUAAUUACUGUUUCAGUCUCAGAUUUAAUUCAAAUUUUUGAAAAUUAUCUAGGGAAGAUACUCUGUAUGACUUGUUAUUCUUAAAAUUACUUAAUCCAUUAUGAUAAAACUAAUUUAAAAUAUUUUUGUUAUUAUCUUAAUAUUUAUUAUUUAUAAAAAUUUUCAGUUCUAUUAAAUUUUUAUAAAUAUGAUAAAUUACCACAAUUCAUAAUUCAUAGGCAUUAAUCUUAGUUGGUAAUUAUUAAUUCUAUUAAACACUAAAAAAUUAUAUAAAAUUAAAUAAUUUUUAUCACGAUCCGAUCUGUGGGCCCGUGACCAACGCUAGGGAAUGGGCAGGCUUAAGGCCACUGAAACUCAUAGCAAGUGUAAUUAGCCAAAAAUCUAAAUAAAUACCUAAUUAUAUACUUUUAAAACAAAUCAACAUUUCACUCACAAAUCUACACAUGGUUAAGUAAUCCUCCAGCUAGAUUUCUAGCAAUGUCCCACAAUUUUAACAGAUCAAAUUAAAAUAUAAAAUACCAAGUAAAUUGCUGCGGAGAGUAUAGAAUUCCAAGUAGUUUACAAGUACAAAAGUAAGAUUUAAUUACACUAUACUCGAAGGGAGAAGGGAAGUCGGGCUACAAAAGAUGUCGGCGGAGAACCUAACUGUCACCUGAAAAAUUUAAAAUUGAAACUGUCAGUCUCGAGUAUGAGUUAAAAACAUAUAUCUGCAGUAAAACAACUAUAAAUAUCCAUGUGGAAUGGUUGAUAAAAUAAUGUGGUACAUCACAAACUAAUAAGCAAGUGUCAUAGCAUAAUUUUAAAUAAUUGAUUUUUUUUUACUCAUAAAAGACGAGUAUUUCAGCAGCACUCUAACCCCAAUACUAGUAGCCUUUCGGCUCUUUUAUUCCAAUACGACCGACACCUAGAGAGCGAAGCUUAACUAGGGUCCUUAAAUCCAGCCUGGUCACUUGAUUUCUAAUAAAUUCGGUUCCCAAAGAGCAACGCUCGACCAAGGACCUUUCCUCCAACAAUCAAAUUCUCAUAGCCCAGAGAAUUAUACUCGACUAGGGCAAAUCCUAAAAUAUUCUUUUAUUACAUAUCUCUGAUUAAUACCGAUCCGCACGCUGUCCUGAUGCUACCCAUCAGGUGGCAUGUUCUACUACCGCCUCAUCCCGAGUCAAUAUGAAAUCAUAAUAUCGAUAUUGUAAAAAAUGAUUUAUGAAUAGCAAGUAACUAAACUAUUAAUCAAUAACGUAUUAAAUAAUACUGAACAUCACGUAAUUGUUAUCGUAAAUUUAUUUAUUUAAAUAAAUAGUAAAUAGAUAAUUAAUUUCAUAAAAUGAUUAUUUAGAUGAAUAAUAAAUAACUAAUCUAAAAUUUAUAAAGCAAUUAAUUGGAUAAAUAAUAAAUAAAUAGUUUAAACCUAUAAAUUAAUUAAUUAAAUAUAAAAUAAGAAUUUCCAGUAAUAUUCACCAUGACAAAUAAAUAUAUACAUAUAUAUAAAUACAAUAAUAAUAUAAAUAAUUAAUCGAAAUUGCUAUAUAAAAAUUCGGCAGAGCACAUGUAUAUAGAGGAAGAAGAAGAAGAAGAAGAAGGAAGUCAAAAGACGGAGUAAGGCAGAUUAGAAGGGUAUUUAUCAAGUGGGGAGGAGUGGACAUAGCUGUUCCUCACAUGCCAUGUGCCUCUCCCUUCUUCUUCUCUCCUUCACUCCCUCACUAUUGUCACGACCCCACCCGUGGGCCCGUGACCGGCACUAGGGAAUGGGUAGGCGUAAGGCCACCGAAACCCGUAGUUAGCCUGACACUCACUGACUUAAACAAAUCUCAUCUCAAAUUAAUAUUAUUAAAGCCACAAAUUAUCUUAAAUGCUACAUUUUACAUAAUUUAAUCGGUCUGCCAGAAGAACUAGACGAGACCUGAAACUCAGAAAAUUUACAACUGAUACAUCUACUAUUACUACUGCGGAGAAUCUAAGAUUUACCAAUUUACAUACCAAAUCAAAUACGUCACCCGAUGAUGAAGGAGUCGGGUUACUGAAUAAGAGUCGUGAGAGGACUAACAGUCACGAAUCUGAAAAACAGUAAAAAUGAGACUGUCAGUCUCGAGUGUGAGUUAAAAUCAAAUAAUCUGGGGACUAUUGCAUUCUUCUCAGAAAACAUAGAUUAUUCAAAUCAGUAUAUCAAACCAUGCACAUAAAUACCAAUCAUACUAUAAUCAUACCCUAUUACUUUCUUCACAGAAAAUAUUGAUCAUUCGAAUCAAUAUAUCAACCAUGCACGUAAAUACAAUCCAUAUUAUAAUCAUACCUUAAUAAAUAAAUAAAUGAAUAAAUAAAAAUAUAUUUUUACUUUUACGGGACGAGUGGCUCAGUAGAACCCUAACUCCAAAUUCUAUCAGCCAUUUUGGCUCUCUUAAUCCAAUAAGACUGGCGCCCACGACCAGGGACCUUACCUCCAGUCUGAACACUUGAAUUCCAAAUAAGCCGGCGCCCAGAGAGCAAUGCUCGACCAGGGACCUUACCUCUGGCAAUUUACUCAAAUCAGCCCAGAGAGCCAUGCUCGACCAGGGCAAACCCAUGAAAAUCUUAUUACAUGUCCAUGAUCAUUACCGGUGCGCACGCGGUCCUGAUGUAACCCAUCAGGCGGCAUGUUCUACAAGCCACAUUUCCCAAAUCGCAAUCACCACAUUUAAUAAAUAUCAUUGUCUAAUGAAAUCAUUCAACAUAUAUCGAAAUAACAAUUAACAAUUAAGAGUAAGACAUCAGGCAACUCAUAUGGAAAACUGAUAAUAUUUGGUAUUAUUAUAACAUUACUAUAAUAAUACUCAUAUUAUCUUCAAUAAUUAAUAAUCCAGUAAAAUUAUUUACGUUGAGAUAUUAAUAACCAUGUUAAACAUAAACUUCCAAAAUAGCAUAUUAAAAUCAGACUUAGUAAUAGUGCAAUGAUUAAAUGACUUUAACUCACAGGUUUGGCGACCUCCUAGCUCUGCUCCGGUGCCUCGGUAGGAGCGAGCCGAACAAACUGACAAUCUAGUCAUGGAAAACAAUUUAUCAAAACGAUGAAACAAUUACAAUAGAUCCUAGGUCUAGAUUCCUAGGACUGACUGUCUAAGAAUCUUGACUCAGGAACUACCGAAAAUUCGGCAGAACCUCCCCUACAACACGAACAUUACCCCUUGUAAAAACGGGUCCAGGACCUGCCAGAAGAACACUUCAAAUAUCCAACAAUUUAAACAACGGGAGUCGGGUCCCAAACUUCACUAUUUCCCGACUACGCCACACAGCACAAAACACAAGGCAAGCAAACUAACAGACAAUUAUUUAUGACUCACAAAUAUCAUCAAAUACUCAAUAUAAACCAUUAGAUAAAAAAUUUAAAAUCAAAGGAUUUCUAAAAUUAACGGGCCAAAGAAAUAUUACCGAGACGCUCGAUCGCUCGGUCGACUCGCCUCCAGCCGCCGGAGUCCGAUCGACGAUCCGAACACACCAUCGGACUCACAACGACGCGCUGAUGACGAUCCCCGCUUUCGAUUUUCCGAUCUGACACUCGAUCAUCCUGAGAGAUUUGCGGACGAUCUCGGCCAUCAAUUUGCAAACGAAACCCGAUCGUAACAAAACCGGUGCCAAUGCGAAGCUUGAGAUGAGGAGAGUCGGGAUACGUCCUCCGAUCUUCCAUAGCUCGCCGGAGCUCGCCGGAAAAAUCCAAAAACUUCGGCUGCCUCCAUUUUCUCUCUCCAUCGGAUCUUCCGUUUCCGGCCACCACUGUCGACGCCGCCGCCGCCAAAACAAAGCCUAGGCCGAGAGGAGUCGAUCGGCACCAAGAUCAGCGACCACCGACGUCGGAAACGCCCGCACGGCGGCAAGGAAGCUUUGGCCAUCUUCCUCCUCGCGCGAGAGCUGCUGCAGUCGCUCGCUGGUGCCGCUGCCGCUGCCGCCGCUGACGCCUGCAGCUUCGCCGGCCAGCCCUGCGCCCCAGACAGACGGCCCCGACGCCGCAGCUCCUUCCUCCGCGCGCUCCUCGCUCUCCCCCGACAUCUCUCUUCCUNNNNNNNNNNNNNNNNNNNNNNNNNNNNNNNNNNNNNNNNNNNNNNNNNNNNNNNNNNNNNNNNNNNNNNNNNNNNNNNNNNNNNNNNNNNNNNNNNNNNNNNNNNNNNNNNNNNNNNNNNNNNNNNNNNNNNNNNNNNNNNNNNNNNNNNNNNNNNNNNNNNNNNNNNNNNNNNNNNNNNNNNNNNNNNNNNNNNNNNNNNNNNNNNNNNNNNNNNNNNNNNNNNNNNNNNNNNNNNNNNNNNNNNNNNNNNNNNNNNNNNNNNNNNNNNNNNNNNNNNNNNNNNNNNNNNNNNNNNNNNNNNNNNNNNNNNNNNNNNNNNNAACAUUAUACUGUCAAUCCUUAUUCCAAAAUAAAUUUCUAAUUAAAUCCUACACACAAUUAAAUUAAAUUAAAUAAUCAAUUUCCAACUUAAAAUUUAAUACUACUAAUCAAUUAUAAUACAAAUUUUUCCAAAAUUCUUUUAUAAAAACAUCACUUACAAUUUCUACCAUAAUUUUCCAAUAUAUAAUUUUACUUAUAUAAAUAUGCAUUUGGGAAAAUUUUGAAUAACUAAAUAAAAAAAUAUAAUUUAUUCCUCAAAUAAUUUAUUUAAUUAACUCCUUAAAAAUCAAACUAAUUGGAUAUGGAAAAAUAAUUCAUUAUUAAACAUAUAAAAAUUCGGGGUAUUACAACUAUACCAUAGAAAACCCACUUGUUUAACAUUGUUUGCUGUCUCUAAUCUAAACUUUUUUAUCUCCUAAUAAUCGUAUUUUUGUCACGACCCCAUCUGUGGGCCCGUGACCGGCACUAGGGAAUGGGUAGGUGUAAGGCCACCGAAUCCCGUAGUAAGCCUGACACUCACUAACUCAAUUAAAUCUCAUCUCAUUUUACUGAUGCCAUAAUUUAUCUUAAAUGUUAAAUCUUACAUAAUUAAUUCAGUCUGCUAGAAGAAUUAGGCGAGACCCGAAACUACAAAGAAUUACAACAGAUAAGUCUAUUAAUUCUACUGUGCAGAAUCUAAGAUUUUACAAGUUAACAUACCAAACAAAUUACAUCACACGAUGAUGAAGGAGUCGGGUUACUAGAUAAGAGUCGCGGGAAGACUAACAGUCACAGAUCUGAAAAACAGUAAAAUUGAGACUGUCAGUCUUGAGAGUGAGCUAAAAUCAUAUAUCUAAAAACAAUUGCACUCCUUUUCUUGCUUCUUGCAUUGGGAAAGUUGAAGAGAGGAUAAAGUUAUUACUGCUACUCCUACUAUAAAUAUAAUCAAAAUAAGAGGUACUUCUAACAAUGAAGCAUAAAAGCAAGAAAGACCCAUGUGUUUACCUUGUACUAUAUGUACAUACAUAUGCCUAUUACCCUCCUUUUAAUUUGUGCAAUUUAAUUUUGACAUUCUUUUUUUUAUGGAAUAAGGUUUUACUUUUUGCAUACUUUGAUUUAUGAAUUAGAUUAGAAUAAUUUUAAUUAAAAAUGGAAUCUCCUUCAAAAAUAUGAUGAUUCUAAUGUAUCUUUAAGUGCGUCAUCCUACAAUAAUAAUAAUAACUUUGAAUGCAACUUAUUUUAGUCACACGUGUGGUUCCACAAGUUUCUCCUAAAAGGUGCAGUGGUGACAAACACCAUUAAGAGUUUGGACCAUUUUGAUGCAAAGGGUCUAUUCUUUGAUUAGGCAUUAAAAUUUAAAGUAUAGGUGAGAAUAGUUUAUAGUUGAGCAACUUUGCUCUAUAUGGCCUUUUUUUUUCUUCCAAGAUUUUGCAAUCUUUUGUGUCACAUGCCAUGUCAAAAUUAGUUAGAUAAAGGGAAUUUUCACAUAAAGAUAUAUAUAUCAAGCUUAAUAUAGCUGUCAUCAAAUUUUGACUUUCAUAGAAUUGUAUUUCACUUUUUCUUUCUUUUAGUGUUGAUUUAUAGUUUUAAAGUUGAAUUGCUACCUUUUCUUACACAAUCUUCUUACUCAAAUAUCAUUAUUUUAGAUUACCAAUCCCAAAUUGUAUUAUUAUGUUGUAACUUUAGAAAAUCAAUGUGUACUUUGUAUGAGAGAGUAUUUAAAUGUGUUUAGUUAUAGAAUGCAAGCACACAAUGUGAUUUUCUUAAAUUAAAUUCAUCCUUACUAUUUUAAGGUAAUCAAUGAUUCAUAAGAAAACUCUAACUACUGUUUUGCAGUCUGGCAGCUUUCCACUAUUGUUUCUGUUAAGCAUGUCUGUUGGUCAUCCUGAACCUUUACCACUUUCAUCUUCUCUUGUAUUAGAUAAUGCUGCUGAGUCAGGCGUUCUACAUACCAUUUCCUAGUUAAUUGAUCAAAUAAAUACAACAUUAGUGCUUGAACAAGUACAUAAUUGAAAUGCAUGAUUAAGCAAUAUGAAUUAAUGACAAAUCUGAGUUACGUUUGAUGUCAUUGGAUGUGCAGCUGGGGAAGAAUGCAGUAAAGGGCUGUGACCACGAUUUCUAUUACUGUGAGCAUAAUUUCGAGGAUGAUCACUAUUUCCAAGUGGAUCAACAUUCUUCCCGAGAUCUCUUAUCCUGCUAAGCUCUGGCACUAUAACAGUUAGAAGAUUAGGCCUAUCCUUCUUUCUUAGUUCAGCACACUUCAAUGCCAACUUAGCAAAGUUUAACGCCUCUUCAACUGGCCAGUCUACCACUGAGGGGUCGAGCAUCUUUUCAAAUGUUCCUCUUUCAAUAGCCUUCCCCACAUGGUGAGCAAGGCCCAUUGGAGGCUUGGCAGUGAUAAUUUGAAGCAACAAGAUCCCUAGUGAGUAUAUAUCUGAUCGCGUAGUUAGCAUCCCAGUUUGCUGAUACUCAGGAUCUAUGUAACAAAAUGUACCUGCAGCUGAAGUCAUGUGAUAUUGUGUAACAGAAUCAGCUACAGAUGGCGGGACUAACCGUGCUAACCCAACAUCACUGAUCUUGCUCACAUAGUUACGGUCUAAGAGGAUGUUGGCUGGCUUGAGAUCGCGGUGGACUAGAGGCUCAGGCUUUGCUUGGUGCAGGAAUAGAAGCGCAGUUGAGAUCUCUGCUGCAAUCUUAAAUCUUCUCCUCCAUGAAAUUGGAGGUGUGUUGUCUCUUUGAAGUAACCUAUCUUCCAAGCUACCAUUGUCCAUGUAUUCAUAAACCAAGCACCCAUACUCUGGACAGGCACCAAGAAGAAGCACCAUGUGUGGAUGUCUAAUGCAGCUCAGAACCUCAACCUAAAGGUUUCCAUAUUUUAUAGAACGUCACAACAGUUGAUGCUAAUUAUGCAAGAAAUAAUCUUUAGAGAAAAUAUUUAAAAUGAGGAGCCUUACCUCUUGUUGGAAUUGCUUCUUCCCUUGAGCAGCAUCAGGUCUUAAAACUUUGAUAGCAACUGCUGUAUGGUCAAGUGUGCCUUUAUACACAGGUCCAUAUCCACCUUCACCAAUUUUAUUUGAUUGUGAGAAUUUUUCUGUAGCGUCUUCUAUUUCCUCAAUUGUGUAUUUUCUGUAUCGAACAUCAUUAUGUGCCAAAGCAGUCAAUGCACGAUUUUUCUCUUCUGCCUCUCGCUUAGCUUUUAACUCUGCGUAUUUUCUUUUCUGUGCUUCCAUUUUUGCUAGCCUCUGUGCUUUCUCAGCUGCUUCUAUAGCAGCUUUGCACUUGGCCUUUUCCAUUUCUGCAAUUGCAAGAGCUGCCUCUUCAGCAUGCCUAGCUUCCUCGAAUCUACGAGCCUCCUCCAUUUUCCAUUGAUGUAGCUCAUUAGCCUGGAAGCAUAACAUUCAGAAUCAAAGCUUUUGAUUAUUUGUAAGAAAUCAGAAAUAAAAUCUUUGAUACAUGUAGGCUUGGUAUAAGAUUGUACCUUCUUUUUUGCUGUGAGUGCUUCUCUGCAAGCUGUGCUAUACAUGUCUAUGGUCUGCUUAAGUUCAACCCUUAGUCUUCUCAUCUCGGCUUCAAUGUCUCGCUGCAUUUCAUAGUCCAUCAAUUUAUGGUUAUAACUAUCCGUUCUGCAACAACUAAAUGGCAUGUAGUAUUUAGUAUCAAUUUUCGCUUACUGCAGCUUGUGAGGCAGCCAGAUCCUUGGGCGACCCGAGAGAAAAGUCUGGAUUCUGGGAUGAAAUGUCUAUGGAUCCUAGCGCAAAUGGAGAUGAGAAAUCAUGAUCCUCAUAUGUAGAAACUCGGCUAGUUGAGAUUCUUGGCGCUGCUCCUCCUGGGAAAGAAAUGUCAAUGCUAUCCAUUGAAAGAUUGGACGGAGUUCUGGUUCUGUCGCGAAUUAAUUGCCCUCUCAUGGGAUCAUUGCUUCUUUCAUAAGGAAAUCUUUCUGAUCCUUGAUUUUUAUAAUAUCCUCUCACAGAAUGUCCUCUAAUUAAAAUUGUAAACAUUAAAGAUCAUGAUCCAAAUAAUUAAUAUUCUUAUAUCAGUUUUACAUGAUAGAUCAAGCUUUUCUUAAUUACCUGAUUCCAUCAUCAUAAUAAUCAGAAUGAUCAUGUGGGGUUGGACCUGGAAGAGCUAGCAUAUUAGGUACCUUUGGUGGAAUGGGAGGAUUAUUAGCAGGUCGUUGCGCUGUUCGCACAGACGCUAUCUUUCCUUUUGAAAUUACAUAAACAGAACAGAAAUCUGGUGUAGACUUUAUUAAGCUACUCGGUACAUCUUGGUUCUUGAAUUUCCUGUACAAUCAUAAAACAUCGUAUGUCAUUAUCAGAUUCAUACCUUUUCAACCUCCUAUAAUCCAAGAACAUGAUUUUUCUUUUUCACAAACCUGGUAAAAGCGUUUCUUGUUGAAGCACCAACAACAAUACUCCCGAGAAAGUUUUUGCUGAUAUAAUCUAGAAGUGCUCGUGCAACAUCAUUAUCCUCUAGUAUAAUUUCCUUUAACUGUACCUGAAAUUAGCAAUGAACUCUUUCAUGUCAUUCGCACUGGUUUCUAUCAAAUAUAUUUGACAAUAUAAUGGAUAGAAGAUAUAAAACUACGAACCCCUUUACGAGCACAAUAUCCACGAAAAGGAACGAAAAGUUGUUGCACCUCAUCGGAAUCAACAUCAUUCCCAUUGUUAGCAUCUACAAGAACCUCAGAUCAUAAACAAAAAUCAGAAUCCAAUGCCAAUAUUCUUGACUCAUGCCCAUAAUAAAUAUGAUACUCCUACAAUGUAAUAUACUACAAGGCAUAUAUACGUAACUUAAUUUAAAAUGAGAAAUGAGGGAGGGUACCUACGAUGUUGGUGGUUCUUGUGUCUGACAUGAACAAGGAUGAUAACAGGAUUAUUGAUUAUAAGAUGAUCAAUAGCCCAUCGGACAACAUGUUGGCUAUUUUUGUCCUUGUCAAUAGCUACAGCUAUGGCAUUUACGAGUGAAAUGGACUCUUUAGAAGGAACUAAAGCCAUUUAGCAAAAGUUUACAAUGCCAAAGGUCGGGAAAAAUAAAAGGAAAAAGAAUUAUAAGUUACAAUCUGUUUGAUGCCAAUGAAUUAGCACAGCCAAUACUGCCUACCUUCCAGCCCCAAAGUAACUGGUAAUUUUUUUAUUGAAUUGAGGAAAAGGUAGAAGAAGAAGAAUGUAAGAAAGAAAACAAAAAUGAAGGUAGAAAGAAGCUAGCCUAAUUAGCUUCUCUCUCUUCUUGUCCAAGUGAGCCUCCAAACCCAUGUAAACUCCAUUAGAACAAACAAACGAAAAAAAACAAACCAACUUAACAAACUUAAGUUUUGUGCUUCUCCUCCAUUCACUAGUUUUAGCAAAUUUGACCAUGCCAUUCCUUGCUCCUUUUUUUGGUAAAUUAUUUGCCUGGCUAGAGCUGAACCUUUGAUUAAUUAAAUUACAACUUAAUCAAUUAAAGAUGUAAAAAUCCUUUUUGGUCACGAGGAUAGGAUUUUUAAUCAAAAUGAUUUUUGGCAUUUAUAAGUAGAGCAUUCCUUUUCUUGCUUCUUGCAUUGGAAAAGUAGAAGAGAGGAUAAAGUUAUUACUGCUGCUACUCCUACUAUAAAUAUAAUCAAAAUAAGAGGUACUUCCAACAAUGAAGCAUAAAAGCAAGAAAGACCCAUGUGUUCACCUUGUACUAUAUGUACACACACAUGCCAAUGACUCUCCUCUUAAUUUGUGCAAUUUAAUUUUGACAAUCUUUUCUUUCUUUUUUUUUCUGGAAUAAGGUUUUAUUUUUUACAUACUUUGAUUUAUGAAUUAGAUUAGAAUAAUUUUAAUUAAAAAUGGAUUUUCCUUCAAAAAUAUGAUGAUUCUAAUGUAUCUUUAAGUGGGUCAUCCUACAAUAAUAAUAAUAACUUUGAAUGCAAUUUAUUUUGGUCACCCGUGUGGUUCCACAAGUUUCUCGUAAAAGAUGGACUGAAAAUCACUUCAAACCACUUAUAGAUUGCAAUACCCAAAUCUAGGUUUUAUUUUGAUUUUGGAAAAUUUUUUCUUGAAUGGACAGUCUUUGUUUUAAUGGUUACAAGCACCAUUAAGAGUUUAGACCAUUUUGAUGCAAAAGGUCUAUUUUUUUAUUAGGCAUUAAAAUUCAAAGUAUUUGUAAGAAUUGUUUAUAGUUGAGCAACUUUGCUGUAUAUGGCCUUUUUUUUCUUCCAAGAUUUUGCAAUCUUUUGUAUCACGUACCAUGACAAAUUAGUUAGAUAAAAGGAAUUUUCACAGAAAGAUGUGUAUAUCAAGCUGAAUAUAGUUNNNUUUUCGUAUACAUCUUCGUACUCAAAUAUCACUAGUUUAGAUUGCCACACCCAAAUUGUAUUAUUAUGUUGUAACUUUAUAAAAUCAAUGUGUAUUUUGUACGAGAGAGUAUAUAUAUGUGUUUAGUUAUAGAAUGCAAGCACACAGUGUAAUUUUCUUAAAUUAAAUUCAUCCUUACUAUUUUAAGGUAAUCAAUGAUUCAUAAGAAAACUCUAAACAUUAAAAACUUAAAAUUUUGGGUAUUAAAAUUAUGAGAUAAUUCUAUCAUAUGAUUAAAUUAUAAACCAUUUAUACUUUGUCAAUCUCAUUUUUAAGAUAUUAAAAUUACUUAAUGCCUAUUUAGGAACCGCGGCUCUUCAAAAUUGUUAUUUUCAUAAAUUUACUUUCAAUUUUUAUUACUAUUUUUUAUUUACUUUUAAUUACUUUCAAUUUUUUUUAUCUUAUUCCUAUUAAUAACAUUUUCUAAUUAGGAUGCUGAAUAUGAUAGAUGUAUAAAUAUGUUUUUAGUUUAGUUGUAGAAUUUAUACACAAAUAGAUAAAUAAUUAAAUAUGUGUAAAUAUAUAAUAUUAAGUAAUAUGUAUUAUUUUGUUAUUUAUUAUUGUGCAAAUACUUAGCAUAGUAAGAAUUAGUCUAUAUCACACUCAACUACAAGAAAAAUUUAAUUUCUAAGAAUAUCCUCACAUAUCAAAAAGAAUAUUAAGGUAAAGUAAAAAUUUAUGAUAAAUUUCGAAAUAAUUAGUGUAUUCUUUCACUUUUUGUUAAUGUAUGUAUUAUUCAAAAUCAUAGAGUAAGGAAUAAAAAAGAAAAAAGAAAGAACAAGCUGAUGUCAUAGUGGCAAGAUUGUCCUUAAGGUAUAUUAUUAGCGCUCGUGUAACAAAAAGGCUGCCUCAAAUUCUAGUAACUUUUAAAACCUUCUCUACUCUCAUUCAAGGAGUGUGCGCUACCCUCACUUAACAAUGAGUCCCACAGAUCCUUGCAAAUUCCAAAACAAUUGUUAGCGUUUAUAUUGAGCGACUUUGACCUACUCAGCGCUAGGUGACAAACACGUUAAUCAAAUAAUUCACGCGUGCUUUACACGCUCCACAAGUGUUGCUUGAAGGAUUAGAUUUUAUUUUUUACUUGCCACUACUGGUACUGUACGUCGGGGUCCAGAAGUCACAGCUAAUCAUAACCGUUGAUUCCUUUUGACAGUUAAGAUCUACUGCUGGAAAUAAAAGGUCAUUGAUUGUACUUUUGGGACAAAUAAUUCAGUUCUUGUCUUCUAAUAUCUAGCAGUAAAUCUAGUACUCACUCAUGGAAUUACUCAACUGCCCAUUUAUUUAUUGGGGGAGACUAACGUCAAUAGCCGGGGCAUUCAGGUAAAUUUGGUGUUUCUGAAAAGAGGGACGUGGAAAUUAUAUGAAUUUUGUGUUAUAAUAAAAUAGAUUUUAACCGUAUUUGUAAAAUUUCAGGGACAUUUUGGUCAGUACAUGUAAUUCUGUAUUUGUAGUUGGAAAAUUUUGCUGCCUUUUUUCUUAGAUAAUCAGUCACUUAAUCUAGUCGUAACGUGAGAUGAUUUUUAAAAAUAAUGUUUGAUUUUUAUUUUACCUAUCUUAUAAUAGUACUUUUAUACUUAAUUUAUAUUUUUUUCUAUAAAUUUAGAUCUUAAAUUUGAAAUUUAAUUCAUUAAUAAAAUAAUAUACUCUCUCUAGCUCUCAAUUUGACUAAAACAUUUCUUUAGCUCUUUUGCAUUAGGGGUAUCAAGAACCGGAAUGGAUAUCACAUAUGCCCUUUUCUUUGAUCCAUAGCUAACAACUCAUCGUACCAAGUGCGUCAGCCUCACUCCCUCGGGACUACAAGUAGUUUCGGUUGUUGAAUCUCAUGCAAGUUAGGCUGUGGUUGUAUUGGCAGCAAGCAAAAUGGAGGCGCUUUAGGUGUGUGUUGACCAUGCGCUCUCGCAUCAUGUAAUGUCGUAUGUACGAUAAAGGUGGUGUGGUGAUUGACAUCAAUGCUAAUGGUUAUCCCCAAGGUUCAACAAAUGAAUAAAGCUAUUAUCAUAACCGAAUAGAGAUGAUGGUCUUCCUCUGAUGUCUCUAGGUCGACUAUAAUAGAAUAGAUAGGCGAAGCAGCCAAUAACUGUCUGUUCUCGCCUAUCGAUAAUACCGGGUUGCUUCCAAGCUCAAACCAUUUGAAACUUAAUUGCUUUCAACACAGUUGUCUCUCUAGCUGUUUGAAACCUUUUGAGGUAUAUUGAACCGCUUGUUGUAUUCAAAAGCCUUAUAUUUUAUUUUCUCAUUUGGAAGACCCGCACUUAGACAUAAAAAGCGACAAAGGAUACAAUGAAAAAGGUAAAUGAAUAAGAAUUUCUCUCUUCUUUUAAUAGGGACGAUAUGCUCUAUACUAUGGAAGACAUCAUAUUCAUUUUAUUUUCUCUUCUUUCUUUCUUGUAUAUUCUUAUUCUACCCUUCGUUCCUUUUAUCUUGGGCAUCUUUAAGGUAUAUUAAAAACUAACUCGAUAUCCUCACUGAACAAGGGAGGAUUAUUCAGGGCAAGCUCAAUGUAUAAUGAGGAUGAAAUAACGGUUGGAUGGUUAGGACAUCUUAUCUUUAAUCCUAGCCUACAAGCAUAAAUCAUUGGCGCGGAAUGUAAUCCCAAAGACUCAAAUAUAGUAAAUAAAUGAGAUGGUAAGACCCUUGCAGAGUUCCCCAACAGCAUAGAGCUUAGAAAGCUCGGACCCAGGCAAGAUCCGAAAAACAUAAUAACCCGUCUCCCGCGUUCUCACUUCCUUUGAGAAAGUUUCUAAGCGUGGAAUCAUAGACCAACAGGUUCACUAGCAAGGAAUAAACUCUGUGACUUAGUUCCAGCCUUUAGUUUCAGCCUUUCCCCUAUACUUAGAGUGGGUGAUUGGAUUGCUGAAACAUUUCUUACACUGCUAUCAUAACACAUGACCACAUCUCGAAGGAUGGAGUGAAAAAGAGGCAAAAUAGGGUAAACAGGCGCAUAGGCAUAGGUCUUCCACUAUCACUUCUGAUGUGCCACUCGUCAAUUGAGAAACUUGGGGAGGCUAUCUUCAUGGUACCAAUGACUGGGGUCAGGGGGCCCAUUAUAUAAAAUAAGGUAACUUAAACAUAUGCUUUGAAGGUGGAGCCUAUUGAUAUAGAAAGAAAGGAGGCAAGACGUUUGCAACUAUGGUUCCAAUCUGUAUAGAAUAAUUUAAAUUAAUUUAUAAUUACAAUAAAAAAACUUGUCUGCUUAUAUAUUUUUGUAAUUAUUUUUUACUAAGUUUAUUUUAAUAUUAUGUUAACUAAUAAAUUAAUUUUUAGUUAAAUAAUGAUUUUAAUUCUAUCUUAAGAAAUAGCAUAUUAAUAUUAUAUUAAUUAAUAGAUUAAUUUUUUACUUAGAUAAUAAUUUUAAUCCUAAAUAAAAUAAAAUAAAUUACAUUUACUAUUAAAUUAAUUUCUAAUCUUAAAAGAUAAUAAUAAAAAAUAAUCCGAUAGGUAAGAAUAUAUGAAUAUGAACUUGAGAUUUAAUAAAAAUAUGUUUCUUUGUUAGUAAUUAUUUUCUUUAAUAUUUCUAUGUUAUAUUUAUAAAAAAUGUAUUGAUGAAAUUAAUAAAAAUUUACAAAAUCAUAAGCUUGAUAAUAAAAAGCGGAGAGAAUUUUUACAAAAGACCAUCCUCUUCAAAUUUCUCAAAACAAAGUCCCAAAAAAUAUUUUAGUAAAAUUACUUGUUACAAAUUUGGUAAAAAAGGACACAUUCAAAGUAUUGUAAGUUUUCUAAAAAAUUUCAGGAGCUCCAAAUAGAAGAAAAAAUUUUGAGCAAAAUUUCAGCUCUUCUAGUUGAAACCUUUGAAUCGUCAUUUUCUAAUGACAAGGAAGAAUUCCAAAUUGAUGAAAUUAAAACCUCAUCUGAAUAUUCCGAAUCAGAAUUGGAUGAUAUCCCAAAAAAUAUUAAUAUGUUCACUAGGCAAGAAGAAGCUCUUCUUGAAGCUGUCAAGCAUAUUAACGACACUCAAAUCUAAAAAUAAGUUUUGAAAGAAAUUUUAAAAACCGAAACCCUCAUCCCGUCUUCUAGUAAGAACACCUAUGAUCUUACUAUGAUUUUUAGAAAAAGAAAAAAGGCAAAAACAUCAUCUUUCUACUAUCCAAGAACUCUAAAAAGAAAUUAAAAGAAAAACAGCAAAAUGAUUAUAUUCUGCUCCAAAGCUUGAUUCUUAAGCAAAACAGUGAAUCUGAUUCUGAGGAAGAAAAUGAUUUUCAAAAUUUUGAGGUUUCUGAAAACGUUCCAGAAAAUUUUAUUAAUGUACUAAAAGAAAUAACCUCAAGAAAAUAUCUGAUUCAGAUAACGCUCAUUUUUUCUUAUGAUUUUCAAAUAGAAACUAUAGCUUUGUUUGAUACAGGAGCAUACCUCAACUGUAUCUAUUAUGAGUUGGUUCUUAAAAGAUAUCAUCUAGAGACAAAAGAAAGACUCACCUUUGCUAACAAUUCAAAGAUUAGAAUUGUGGGAAAAACUGAAGUUGCAAUUCUAAACAAAAACAUUGCUUUAAAAAAUAUUUUUAUUCAUACAAAGGAUUUGCAACAAACUGUUAUUUUGGGGACUCCUUUUAUCAAUUUGAUUACCCCCUUCAAAGUAACUACUGACGGUAUCAUUUUCAAAGCUAAAGAUUCAAAGUUGUUUUUCCUUUUUUAGAAAAACCCAAGAAAAGAAAUCUCAAUCUUAUAAAAGCUCACUCAAUUUAUAAUUUUGAGAUAAAUCCUUUAAUUAAAGGAAAGUAAACCCGGCUUUUCCAUCUAAAACAAGAUAUGAAUUUAAAAAGAAUCCAAAGCUAAUUGCAAAAUGAUUUUGUCCAAAAAAGAAUAUCUGAUUUACAAGAAAAAAUUAAAAGAGAAGUUUGUUCUGACCUUCCUAAUGCUUUCUGGAAAAGAAAAUAUCAUAUGAUAGAUUUACCAUAUGAAAAGUAAUUUAAUGAAAAACAUAUCUCUACCAAAGCCAAGCCUAUCCAAAUGAAUGAAACUUUAGAAAGACAUUAUAGAUUAGAAAUCAAAGACUUAAAAAAGAAAGGCUUAAUUGCUAAAUCAAGAUCCCCCUGGUCGUGUGCAGCUUUCUAUAUCAACAAAAAUAGUGAAAUAGAAAGGGGUACACCUAGAUUGUUAAUUAACUACAAACCUUUAAAUAAAGCUCUAAAGUGGAUUAGAUAUCCUAUUCCAAACAAAAAAGAUUUUCUUCAAAAGCUUCAUUCUACUUUUAUCUUUUUAAAGUUUGAUAUGAAAUCAGGAUUUUGGCAAAUCCAGAUUCAUCCUAAAGAUCAUUACAACACUGCAUUUACAGUUCCAUUUGGCCAGUAUAAAUGGAAUGUGAUGCCUUUUGGAUUAAAAAAUGCUCCUUCUGAAUUUUAAAAAAUUAUGAAUGACAUUUUUAAUCCUUAUUCAAAGUUCUGCAUUGUUUACAUCGAUGAUGUACUAAUCUUUUCAAAUUCUCUAGAACAACAUUUUAAACAUUUGGAGAUAUAUUUCUAUGUUCUUAAGAAAAAUGGUUUAGUUGUUUCCAAAUCCAAAGUAUCAUUAUUCCAAACAAAAAUUAGAUUUCUUGGGCACUACAUCUCUCAGAGAACUAUUAGCCCAAUUGAAAGAUCUCUAGCUUUUACUUCAAAAUUUCUAAAUAAAAUUUUAGAGAAAACUCAAUUGCAAAGAUUCCUUGGCAAUUUAAAUAAUGUCAUAGAUUUUUAUCCAAAUUUAAACUAUUUAGCAAAAUCCCUCCAUGAUAGGUUAAAGAAGAAUCCCCCUGCAUGGUCCGACGAGCAUACAAAGAUUGUUCAAAGCAUCAAAAAACAAGUUUCUAAAAUUCCAUGUUUACAUCUGGCUGAUCCAUCUGCAUUCAAAAUUGUUGAAACUGAUGCAUCGGAUUUAGGUUAUGGUGAAAUUCUUAAACAAAUUCACAACAAAAAAGAAUGCAUUGUCCAGUUUACUUCUGCACACUGGAAUGAUACUCAAAAGAAUUAUUCAACUAUCAAAAAAGAAAUUCUUUCAAUAGUACUAUGCAUUUCAAAGUUCCAAAGUGAUCUUUUAAAUCACACAUUUCUUUUAAGGAUUAAUUAUAAAUCUGUAAAAGAAGUGUUGCAAAAAGAAGUCCAAAAUAUAGAUUCAAAACAGAUUUUUGCCAGAUGGCAAGCUAUUUUUUUCGUGUUUGAUUUUGAAAUCGAAUACAUAAGAGGAGAUUCGAAUUCAAUACCAGAAUUUCUAACCAGAGAGUUCCUUCAAAAACAAGAGUGACAAUGCUAUGAAAAACGAGAGCAAAAGAUAAACAAGAAAAGUCAACAGCAAAUGCAAAAGUUGUUUAAAGCCCUAAAUAUGAGAUUUUUCCCUCCUCUUCAAAGCCUAUCAGAACCUGGACUGAGAUCUUUUAGGAAGAAAUAGACAAAAGCAAAGAAGACCCGGCCCAAACAUAAUUCCAAAUACAGGAGUGGCUUGCACAUCAAACUCCCGAGUUUUUAAAGAUGGUCGAACAAUAUUCAAAGAUAAAACCUAUGGCUAAAGUUUAGCCAAAGAUUUCUCCAAAGUUAUCUUCUUCUUCUUCAAAUAAAGGUAAAGGUAUACUCUCUAUCCCUGUUUCAAAACCAGAGAUAGUAAUUUUUUCCCACAACCUAUCUCACAACUCUCAAAGCAUUUCAAAGCCAAAUUCACAAGCAAUAGUUUUGUCUCAAACAAAACUUUUUAAAACUAAUGAAUACAUAGAAAAAUAAAAUUUUCAAAGCAUUUUAACUGUCGAUGAAGGAUUCUGUACAGAAAGCCCUUCAAAAUACGUUUCAAAAGUUUUCUCUCCUGGAUGGUAUUUUAAACCCUGGAAUAAAAUAAAACCUCAGGCUUAUUACCAGUUUAUCUUAGAGGUGACUGGUUCUGCAAAAUUCAAACACUUCGAAAAGCACAAAUACCACAAAGACCCAGCUUAUUCCACAUGUACCAUUCAAAGAAUCCUUCACCCUUCUGAUUGGGGAAUGGAUUUAUACUCGUCAAGAUCUUUCCCAACCUCCCUUCAAAACACCUACCCCUCAAGCCUCAAUAUAACCUUUAACUACUGGGAUUACCAGCAAGCCUGGUUUAAUACCUUUCUCUUACAAAAUGAAGGACAGAGGCAUUCUUGGCUUUUCUAUUUCGACACAAGAAUAAUUCAAACUUCCAAAAUCCCAUAUUGGUUUAAACAAUGAUAUAAUUAUUAUGGUAACAUUCUAGAAACUAUAAUACUAGAGGUGCUCCCUUUGUUUAAUCUAUUCAAAGCUCACUACAAACUGAACAAAAUAGAAAGAUAAUUUCCCCCCUUGCUUUUAUUUUGUUCAAACUUCUUCCUCCCGUGGGUAUAUGUAUGGUAUUUCCAUUUGAACCAAGUAGCAGAUGGAGAAAUCAUUCUUACCCAAAGGUUCAAAGUUAAAUGGUGGGACAAAUUCAACCACCAAGAAAAAUAAUCUUCAAAGAUGGUACAAAGUUUUCUUACAAAGAAUAGCUUCUUGCCAGCACCCAAAGAACAAACUACUUUCCUGGCACCGAAGUAUUUUAUUCUUCCAAAACUAAUGGCGGCUCAAACAGAAGAAGAUUUCCUACAACUGAUCAAACAGUUGUCAGAAACUACCUCUUCUAAAGGAAAAUCUAAAGCUUCGUCCUCCUCUUCAAGCACCAGCUCAGCAGCCAUUGACUUAGAUGGUGACUCGAAUGAAGAUGACUGUUUUGGGAUAUUUAAGCUCAUCAAAUGAUAUCAUUGUAAAGCCCUUGGGUUGAAAACCAUAAAUGGCAGCCCAUGAUAAUUUUUUGUAAUGGGCCAAAAACCCACUUAAAAAAAAAGUCUUUUCAAAAGAGAAAAAAGACAAAAGACUUUGCACCAUUAUUUUUUUAAGAAAAUGACGAAAACUCCACUAUAAUGAAGCAUGACAGACAAUUUCUACUGCUUUUCAGAAGAGUUAUGGAGCCCCUCACUCCAUUACCAAAAGCAUCUAAAGAAAGAAUUAUUGAGGCUAAAGACUGAAGACCUUUAUAAAUAGAGGAGUUAUCAAAGAAGAAGGCUGACUGAAAAAUCAUAAGAAACUCUUGUAUUCUUCAAGUUCUACCAUUAGAAAUAUAGUGAGAAGAGAGUGAGAGUAAAAAAAGAGAGAGAGAACCCUUCCUCUUGUAUUCUACUACUCUUAUAAGUUAUAUUUCUUUGUUUAAAGCUUUCAUUUUAAAGCUUUCAUUUCAAAGUUUGUAUAUUUGUUUAUUAAUAAGAAUUUGUUAUUUUCUUUCUACAUUGUUGUGCAUAUUUUAUAACAAGUGUAUGCUCUGUGCUUGCCUCGUUUGAGGAUCAUGCACAUCAGAAACUUGUUAAUAAAAAACUUGUUAAGUCUAUUCUUAAAGUAAUAAGUGUACGCUCUGUGCUUGCCUCGUCUGAGUAUUCUGCACAUCAAAAACUUAUUAUUUUGUCUCCCCUUGGUAUCAAAGCCUAUAGGAUUCCUGGGAAGAGAAGGUUGCUUGCAUAAAAGAGAUUUUAGAAUCAUUUUAAACUGUAUCAUAUCUUUGUUGAACAAACUUGUUCAUUUAUGCACAGUAGUAAGGCCCAUUUUUGAUUUAAGGGCAGUAAAACUGGUGGCUUGGUUCAUGUUUGUUUAGAAAGUUACUUUGAUUUAUUUUAAAAUGAAUUUAGAACCACCUUUUCUGUAGAUCAUCUUCUUUUUCAAACUCUUCUACCUCUGAGUCUUCAAGAUCUAAAGGUUUAGUAAAUAGUGAGGAAAUCACUAUUGAAGAUUUUACAAAGCAUAUUGAUGAUUGGAAAAAUACCCAAGAUUCAAAACAAGCAAAUCUAUGAGUUUUUAAAGUUUCCUAUCUUCAAAACAAAUUUUACUAUCAAAACUGAAGAAAGAGAUAUCCAAAUUUCAAAGCUUUUUGAAGAAAUCUAUCUUCUAAAUCCAAAAACCCUCUAAAAACAUAAAGAAAAAGAUUAUAAAUACAUUCACAUAGGCCUUGUCCAGGUAGGAAUAAAACCCCUUAUCAGAGAAGGUUUAGAUACUUCCAUCUUAGUAGUCCUUAGAGAUGCUAGGUUUACGAAUUUUUAUGAUUCUUUAUUAGGUAUUGUCGAGUCAAGCCUUAACAAAGAACCUAUUAGUGUUUUUCAAAUAUUACAAUUUCUUUAAAUGAUAAAAAUAUUUUAAAGAGUAUUGUUCUCUAAAUAAAAACUCAUAAUUACAAAAUGCUUGAAGAGUCUAUCCCGAUAGCUUUGAUUUUUAAAAUACAUUACAAAGCCAUGAUUUCUGCUUUUGGUUCGAAACACAAACUUCACUCGCUAAAAGGAGAAACCUUAUUCCUCCAAACAGACCUUUCUAUAGCCAACACAACAAUUCCAAAAACUAUUCAAUGGAAAGAUAUCACUCUUCUAGAAGAAGGGAUCCUUGAAGGAGCAACCCAACUUGAAUCAUCAAAGCAAACAUAACCAAACACCAAUCUCAGAAACAUAACCCAAUUUUUAGAUGGGAAAGUAAGACUCACGUUUAACAGAAAAUCAACUUCUUCUAGAUUUUCUGAUGACAAUUCUUUAACUUCGACCAUAGAUAUUGGAAGGGUAUAAAAUAUAACUUCUGUUAUCUAUGCCCCUUACAAAGAACCAACUUCAUCAUAAACAUUACCGAGAUUUUCAACAUCAGAUUUACCGAGAUUUUCAACAUCAGAUUUACUAAGCUCAAACACCACAUUACAAAAUAUUGAUUACCAAAGCAAUGUCUCUAGACCUGUUUACAAUAAACCAAAAAAAGAUGAUGAUAUAGAGACCAUCUCUACCCCCUCUUCACCAUCACUAUCGGCAAUAACCCAAAAUCUAGAAGUAGAAAUCAACAUGAUUUAAAAAGAUUUUCAAAUCAAUAAAAAGCUUUUACAUGAAGACUUCUAUUCAAAGAAAAACCAUUCUAAAAAACUUUAGUUUUUUAAGAAUUUUCUACAAGAAAAAGAUAGUAUCCGAGAAAGAUACUAUGAAUUUUGCAUGCAAAACAAGAUCCAAAUCACAUUUUUUGAUUGGUUUCAGAUUUAUUGCAAAGAAAAUAGUAUCCCUUAUCCUUUCAAAGAUAAACUCAUUAGUCCAGUUACCAUUAGGAACAAAGCCCCAUAAUGGAAGGUCGGAGAAAACCAAACCAUCCAGUCUGAACAUCCUCAUUUUAGGAAGAUAACUAUUCCUUAUGGAGAAAAUGAAAUCGAAGCCGCACUUUACAAAUUAGUAGGAAAAGAGUUUGAGAAAAAUGUUAAGAAUAUUGUUCAACAGAAUAACUUCUCAAAUACCUAUCUUAACACAAUAGGAAAAUAGCUAGUUAGGAUAGAAAGCCAAAUUCAGAAACCUACUACAGUCUUAACCUCUGUAAUCCCCAAAACUAGUCAUCCAAGAGAUGUAAGUCAAAUAGAAAAACUCAAAAACCCCAUCUUCAAACCCUACCAGAUUUCAAAGCCUAGUCAAGACCAAUUCCAUAAGCGAACUGAGUUUGCUAGAGUAGUUAGAGAACAACUUAGAAAAUUAACCACUUCCGAGUCUUCCAAAAACCUAAUACCAGAUACUCCUCAAAGCAGUAGAAAUAUCAGUGCUGUAGAUCAAGCCCAAAGCAAUGAAUCUAAUGAUUCAAACCUCGAAAAUGUCAUAANNNAAUUAGUAGAUUAGGAUGGCAAGCCCCUAGAUUAACUUGGCAUACUCCUAGGAAUACUGCCCCUGAUUUAAGUAUAGAAAACAAAAAUAAUAUCCUUACCCAAUAUAGAUUCAAUGCCUCCUCCGUCUAUGAAUGGAAUAUAGAUGGAAUGUCUGAGUACAAUAUUCUUGGUCUCUUAUAACAGAUGACCAUGGCAGCUAAUGCCUACAAAACCUAAAGCGGUAUCUCUGGUAGAGCUAUAGCUGAGCUCCUUAUAGCCGGUUUUUCAGGCCAGCUUAAAGGAUGGUGGGAUUACCAUCUUACCCAAACACAACAGCUGCAAAUCCUAGGUGUUAUCCAAACCACAAUAGAAGGAACACCCAUCUUAGAUGAGCUAGGAAAUCCUAUUGAGGAUGCUGUGUCAACCUUAGUUCUUACGAUUUCCCUCCAUUUUAUAUGAGACCCAUCUCAUCUCAAAAAUAAGAAUGCUGAACUUCUCAGCAAUCCGACCUGCAAAAAACUAAGCAAUUUCCAAGCCUACAAAGACACUUUUCUUACCAGAGUAAUGCUUAAAGAAUACUCAAACCAACCUUUCUGGAAAGAAAAAUUCUUAGCUGGUUUACCUAAAAUACUAGGUGAAAGCGUUAGGAAUACUAUCAAAGAAGCUCAUAAUGGCCAAAUUCCUUAUGAUCUCUAUACUUAUGGCGAAUUAGUUAGCCUUACUCAGAAAGAAGGACUAAAAAUUUGCCAUGACCUUAAACUUCAAAGACAGCUCAAAUGGGAAAUGAAGAAAACUAGACAAGAACUAUGUAGCUUUUGUAACCAGUUUGAGUAUAAUCCCAUAGAACCUUCCUCCGCCUGCAAAGAAAAAUGCAAAGAAGAUUUUUCUAAACCUUAUAUGAAAAAAUAUUUUCACAAAACUAGGAAGGUGCCAGAAAGCAGAAAGAAUUUUUACAAAAGACCAUCCUCUUCAAAUUUCUCAAAACAAAGUCCCAAAAAAGAUUUUAGCAAAAUUAUUGUUACAAAUGUGGCAAAAAGGGACACGCUUCAAAUUAUAUAUAUAUAUAUAUAUAUAUAUAUAUAUAUAUAUAUAUAUAUAUAUAUAUAUAUAUAUAUAUAUAUAUAUAUAUAUAUAUAUAGUUUAAAGUCUCAAUUUAUCUCCUAAAUUUGGAGUCAACAACAAUAUCCAGUGAUCAUUUCAUUUUAAAUAGAGAAUUUAAUUCAUAAAAGAACUAAAUUUAAUUACUAAAUUUUACACUAAAUGUCAAGCUAUAUAAAAAAAAUUCUUUACUUAUAAUACAAUUAUUUAAGUUAACGGCAAUCAAAUUCUAAUAUCUAAUAUAAAUAAUUGAGUAAUUUGUUGGAGAAUUUCUUAAUUAAAUAAAAUUGCUAAAAUUAUAUAAGAUUAUAUUUUAAAAAAUGAGAGUAAAAAAUUUUAUUUUAGUAAUAUUUAAUUUUAAUUUCUAAUAAAAAUAAUUUAAUUACUAUUUCAGUUUCAGAUUUAAUUCAAAUUUUUAAAAAUUAUCUAGUGAAGAUACUAUGUAUGACUUAUUAUUCUUAAAAUUACUUAAUCCAUUAUGAUAAAACUAAUUUUAAAUAUUUUUGUUAUUAUCUUAAUAUUUAUUAUUUAUAAAAUUUUCCAGUUCUAUUAAAUUUUUAUAAAUAUGAUAAAUUACCACAAUUCAUAAUUCAUAUAUAUAUUAAUCUUAGUUGGUAAUUAUUAAUUCUAUUAAACACUAAAAAAUUAAAUAAUUUUUAUCACGAUCUAAUUUGUUGGCCUGUGACCAACGCUAGGGAAUGAGCAGGCUUAAGGCUACCGAAACCCAUAACAAGUGUGAUUAGCCAAAAAUCUAAAUAAACACAUACCUAAUUAUAUACUCUUAAAACAAAUCAACAUUUCACUCACAAAUCUACACAUGGUUAAGUUGAUCCUCUAGCUAGAUUUCUAGCAAUGUCCCACAAUUUUAACAGAUCAAAUUAAAAUAUAAAUUACUAAGUACACUGCUGCGGAGAGUCUAGAAUUUCAAGUAAUUUAAAAGUACUAAAGUAAGAUUUAAUUGCAAUAAACUCGAAGGAAGAAGGGAAGUCGAGCUGCAAAAGAUGUCGGUAGAGAACCUAGUUGUCACCUGAAAAAUUUAAAAUUGAAAUUGUCAGUCUCGGAAAUGAGUUAAAAACAUAUAUCUGUAGUAAAACAACUAUAAAUAUCCAUGUGGAAUGGUUGAUAAAAUAAUGUGGUACAUCACAAACUAAUAAGUGCCAUAGCAUAAUUUUAAAUAAUUGAUUUUUUUUUACUCAUAAGGGACGAGUAUUUCAGCAGAACUCUAAUCCUAAUACUAGUAGCCGUUCGGCUCUUUUAUUCCAAUAUGACUGACACCUAGAGAGGGAAGCUUAACUAUGGUCCUUAAAUCCAGCUUGGUCAAUUGAUUCCCUAUAAUACCCAUAAUUUUUCUUUAAUAAAGAUAAUAAUAAUAAUAAUAAUUAAUAAAUGAGUUUUUAUUUAAAUUAAUUUUAACUUUAUUUUUAUUUGGUUUAAUUGGAAUGAUUUAAAUGAAAUUUUUAAUUUUAAUGCUAGACAAAUAAAGGAGCUAUUUUCUAUAUCCUAUUAGUUUGAAUUUUUAAGAGAUUAAUUAAGUAAAUUUUUUGAGAAAUAAAUUAUAUUUUUGGUACUCANNNUAUUGAAAUGUUUGACAAAUUGAUUAAUUAAAUUAAAAAUUUAUUUUGGAAUAAGGAUUAAAAAUAUAAUUUUAUUAAUAUGGGAUUUUAAUGAAAAUUGGUAUGUUUGGUAUUUUUAUAAUUAAAUAUGUCGGCAAGGGCUUUUUUAUAAUUUUAGAUUCAAAAGCAAGGGUAAAUAUGUAAUUAUGUAUUUUUAAUAAUUCUAAUUUGGCCCAAAUUAAAUAGUUAGGGGCUUAAUUAAAAGGCCAAAGAAAAGUUUAGGGGUUAAUAGAAAAUUCUAGAGGGUGAAAUUGUUAUAAUUAAAAAAGUUGAGGGACCAAAAGGUAAGAAAGAAAAUUUCAGGGACCAAAACUCGAUAUGAAGAAGAAGAAAAGAGAAAAGAAUCGGGGAGAGAGAGAGGGAGACAGGAGGAAGAAUGCGGGGCUGGCCGGCGGAGCGGCUUGCGCUGGCGAGCGUAGUGGCAACACCGGCGGUAGCGAGUGGCGGCGCCAGGCGGCGGCUUCCAGACGCUUUUCCAGCCGUUUCCAGUAGCCUUAUCGGCUGAUUCUGGUGGCGAUCGACUCCCCUAGGCGAGAGCUUUCUUUUGGCGGCAGCGGCGACGCCAAUGGUGGCCGGAGACGGAAGUUCGCGGUGGAGAGAGAAAGUAGGGCAGCCGGCAUUUUCAGGCUUUUCCGGCGAGCUUCGGCGAGCUAUGGAUGAUCGGAGGACGUAUCCGGACUCCCCUUAACUCAAGCUUCGCAAUGGCACCGGUUUCAUGGUGAUCGGACUCCGUUUGCAAAUCGACGGCCGAGAUUGUUCGCAAAUCUCUUCGGAUGAUCGGGGAUCGGAUCAAAAAAUCGAAAGCGGGGAUCGUCAUCAGUGCGUCCUUUCGAGUCCGAUGAUGUGUUCGGAUCGUCGAUCGGACUCCGACAACUGGAGGUGAGUCGACCGAGCAAUCAAGCGUCUCGAUAAUUUUUCUCUAGCCCGUUGAUUUUAGAAUUCUUUGGUAUAUUAUAUGUUUAUUGAAUUGUGCUGAGUAUCAGAAAAUAUUGUGAGUCAAAAUAUUUGUUUGUCGGACUGCCUGCUAUACUCGCAAUUUGUGUUGUGUGGCGGAGUCGAGAAAAUAGUGAAGUCUUGGGGACCCGACUCCCGUUGUAUAAAUUGUUGAAUAUUUGAAGUGUCCCAUUUUACCAGGGGUAAAUGUUCGUGUUGUAGGGGAGGUUCUGCCGAAUUUUUGGUAGAAUUUACCCGAGUCGAGAUUCUUAAACAUUCAAUCCGAGGAAUCUAGACUUAGGGUUAAUGGUCAAUUGUUUCAGCGUUAUUGAUAUAUUAUUUUCCAUGAUUAGAUAAUCCGUCUGUUCGGCUCGCUCCAACCGAGGCACCGAAGCAGAGCUAGGAGGUCGCCAAAGCUGUAAGUUAAAGUCAUAUAUCAGUUAUGCUCGUAUCAUGCAUAAAUUUUUGAAUAGCUGUUGUGAUUAUUUUAUUGCAAGUUUAAUUAUUUAUUUAAUUAUUAUUCAUAUGUAUUAUGCUUUUUAAUUACUAUUCAUGUAUAUUCUUCCUUUAUUAUUGCAUGAUGACACGGGAUGGGACAACAAUAGAACAUAUUAGUUUGAUGAGUGUACCGAUGUAAAUCCGAGAGUGAUGGAAAAAGGGUAAAUGGGUAAAUUUUAAAAGGAAAGUUUAGAACUUGCCCUAGUCGAGCAUCGCUCCCUAGGCUUAGUAGAGUGUGUUUUCCGGAGUAAAGGUCCCUGGUCGAGCAUUGCUCUCUGGGCGCCGGCUUAUUUGGAAACCUAAGUGACCAGACUAGAGGUUAGGUCCAUGGUCGAGCUUCGCUCUCUAGGCGCCAGUCUUAUUAGAGUAAGAGAGCCGAAAGGCUAAGACUGAUAUUGAUAAGUAAGUGACCAGACUGGAGGUAAGGUCUCGGAUCGAGCUUCGCUCUCUAGCGCCAGUUCUGUUGGAAUGAUAGAGUCGAGAUGUUAAAGUUGAGGUUAGUCGAGAUGUCAGUGUUGAGAUUGAUCGAGAUGUUAGUGUUGGGAUUAGGGUUCUACUGAAGUACUCUGUCCCGCUGUGUGUGAAAAUUAUUUUAUUUAAGCAUGGCAUGACACGUAUAUUUUUGCAUGACUUAAUAUUUAUUUCAAAUUAAAUAAAUGUAUUAUUGAAGUAUAUGCAACUGUAUUUGGAUAUAUGAUUUUAACUCACUCUCGAGACUCACAGUCUCAAUUUUACUGUUUCUCAUAUCUGUGACUGUUAGUCUUUCCGUGACUCUUAUCUAGUAAUCUGACUCCUUCAUCAUUGGGUGGUGUAUUUAAUUUGGUAUGUUAAUUUAUAAAAUCUUAGAUUCUCCGUAGUAGAAAUAGUAGAUGUAUCAGUUGUAAUUUUCUGUAGUUUCGGGUCUCGCCUAAUUCUUCUAGCAGACCAAAUUAAUUAUGUAAGAUUUAACAGUUAAGAUAAAUUGGUGGCAUCAGAAAAAUGAGAUGAGAUUUAAUUGAGUUAGUGUCAGGCUUACUACUGGAUUCGGUGGUUUUACGCCUACCCAUUUCCUAGUGCCGGUCACGCGCCCACAUAUGGGGUCGUGACAUUCCCAAUAAAGACGGUUCCCAAAGAGUAACGCUCAACCAGGGACCUUUCCUCCGACAAUCAAAUUCUCAUAGCCCAUAGAAUUGUACUCGACCAGGGCAAAUUCUAAAAAUAUUUUUUUAUUAUAUGUCUCUGAUUAAUACGAUCCGCACUCGGUCCUGAUGCUACCCGUUAGGUGGCAUGUUCUACUACCGCCUCAUCCCGAGUCAAUAUGAAAUCAUAAUAUCAAUAUUGUAAAAAAUGAUUUAUGAAUAGCAAGCAACUUAACUAUUAAUCAAUAACGUAUUAAAUAAUAUUGAACAUCACGUAAUUGUUAUCAUAAAUUUAUUUAUUUAGAUAAAUAGUAAAUAGAUAAUUAAUUUCAUAAAGUGAUUAUUUAGAUGAAUAAUAAAUAAUUAAUCUAAGAUUUAUAAAGUAAUUAAUUGGAUAAAUAAUAAAUAAAUAGUUUAAAUCUAUAAAUUAAUUAAUUACAUCUAAAUAAGAAUUUCCAGUAAUAUUCACUAUGAUAAAUAAAUAUAUACAUAUAUAUAAAUACGAUAAUAAUAUAAAUAAUAAUCGAAAUUGCUAUAUAAAAAUUCGGCAGAGUACAUGUAUAUAGGAUAUAUGACUUUAACUCACAGUUCUACCGCGCUCUGCAGUCUACUCCUACGUCUCAGGUGGAGCUGGCUGGAUGGAUUAAUUUUUUCUAUGCCUAGACUACUAGAUUAGACUGUCUAAGAAAUUUUGACUCGAAAAUUCUACCAAAAAUUUGUUAGAACCUCCCCUAAUUAUAGAUAUUUACUCCCAUAUAACGGGUUCAGAACUUGCUAGAAACACUUCAAAUAUUCAACAUUUAUUUAACGGGAUUCGAGCCAUCAAAACUGUAUUAUUUUCCCUACUCCACAACACAACUGAAAUCAUAAUUCAAAUAAAAUAACAGCGAAAAAAAAAUAUUAUUUCCAAUAUAAUCACGGAAUACUCAUUUAAUUCAAUUAUUCAUAGCUUAAAUUUACAUAACAUAAUAUUAACUCAUUCUGAAAUUAAUCUAUAGUAAUUCUAAAAUCAAGCUCCUAAUUAAUUAAAUAGUUUAAUUAAUUCAUUAUAACUAACAAAUAAAUACACUGAACAUUUUCUAAUAACUUCAAAAUAAUUUUUAAAGUUUAAAUAAAAUUACACCCAGUCAAAAUCCGAAAUUCCGCGUGUUCAAAAAACACUGCAGUCCGAAAGCCGGUACCACCAAUAGUGUCGGAUUUCGAAUCUGAAAGCGUUUGGGCGAAGCUUGAGUUGCGAGGAGUCCAAAUAUGCAAACAGCUUCGCUCGAAACUCGCCGGAAGUCACCCACAAUGGCCGGUGGAGGAAAAUCGACAAGGGAGAGCUGCCUUGAAGUUUUCGGUUCGUUUCUGGCAUCAGGUCAGUGAAAGGACGCGUGGCAAGAGGCUGCUUCAGCAGCGGCAGCAGGGGAGGAAACUUCCUCCUUGCGAGCAGCUCCUCCUCGAUGGCUGGAGGCUGCACGGAUGACGGCGACGGGCUGGCGACGACGAGGGAGCCCACGGUAGGCAAGGAACGGAAGGCGGCAAAGGGAAAAGUGACCAGAGAAAAAGGUGCAGGGGAAGAGGGAGCUGGCAUCGCCGGGAAAGAGAGAAGCAGAGGAAGAAGAUGUCGUCGGUGAAGGGGAAGGGAGAAGAAGCGGCGACGGCAGAAAGGGGGUGGCAGGCAUUGGCGGAAAUGGGAGGGAGUGAGGGAGGAGGAAGAAGAGGGUGAGAGGGUGAGAGGAGAGAGAAAAAGGAGGGAAAGAGAAAAAAUUGUUAUUUUUUUAUUUAAUAAUAAAAGAUGGAAAAAUAUAAAUGAGUCUUCCCUCAAAGAAGUUGCAAUAAUGACAUUCUUGAUCUAGUUAUUAUUAUUUAUUUAUUUUAAAUUUUUAUUAAUUAUUUAUUUAUUUAAAAAAUAUUAAAUAUUGAUUCAUUAAUAAUUAAUAUAAUAUAAAUUUAAAAAUUUAUCAAAUUACUUCCAAUAAAAUUAAAAUCAUUAAAAUUUAAAUUCAUAGGUAUUAUAAUUUUGCUCUACUUUAAUUAAAAAAUAUUUUUUUAGAGCUUGAUAUUUAUUAUAGUUCAAAAGCUAAGCUGAAUUCUUUAAUGAAUUAAAAACUUUGACUAGUGUAAAUUGGAUACAUUUACGAAGUUGAUGACCAAAUUGCUAAAGAAUAUUAAUAAAUUACUCAUUGUCUUUAAAUUUAGAGGUCAAAUUGAUUUUUAUCAUUUCAAAGAAAUUUGUUAUGUCAUAAAAAAUAUUGUUGUGUAGCUAAGGUGCGAAAAUCAAUGCUUAUAGAUAUACUAGAAAGGUCCACAGAAGAAACUCUGUUAGUCUCUUGGCAUUUAACUCUAGUGAAGCUACAUGGGUUUUGGUUAGGAAGCCAGUUUUUAAGGAUAUUUGGGUCGGGUAGAGCGUUCUUGAAGUUGAUAAGAUUCUGGGUAUCUCUGUUUACGGAGGUAAAAGGCUAUGGUGCUACUUGUAGUUGUAGGUGCAGAGAGAGGAAAGUGAACGAAAUAAGCAAAAGAGAGAAAUGGGUUUUCAUUUUUGUCCGAAUGGGUACUCAGAAAAGAUAGAUAUAGAAAAGAAAGAGCAAAAGAGAAGGCGUUUUUAGGGUUUGAGAGCUGCCAUUAGGAAAAAGAGCUGCAAGCUCUGCUUUUCUAGAGAGAGAAAUCUUGUUUCUUUAGUAGAGAGAGAAAGAAGAACAGUAGUAGAGGAAGAAGAAGAAGAAGAAGGAGAGUCAAAAGACGGAGUAAGGCAGAUUAGAAGGGUAUUUAUCAAGUGGGGAGGAGUGGACACAGCUGUUCCUCACAUGCCAUGUGCCUCUCCCUUCUUCUUCUCGCCCUCACUCCCUCACUAUACCACAGAAAACCCAUUUGUUUAACAUUGUUUUCUGUCUCUAAUCUAAACUUUUCUAUUUCUUAAUAAUCCUAUUUUAAUCAUCUCUUGUCUCUUUAAGCAUGCUGUUUAGGGUACAUGAACAAUUUUUAAUACAGUUAAAAAGCAAGAGAGAAAGAGAGAAAGAUAAAUUUCUUUUAUUUGGGAAGAAAAAGAUAUUGUCUCUUUGUCUCUCUACUUCUUCCUUCUCUAAAAAAAAGAUUAUUUCUUUAUAGUGUAC
Molecule: long non-coding RNA, 35246 nt
Filed under: Ricinus communis (castor bean)
Lineage: Eukaryota; Viridiplantae; Streptophyta; Magnoliopsida; Malpighiales; Euphorbiaceae
Description: long non-coding RNA (RCOM_LNC002962)
Source: RNAcentral